RNAcentral lists this long non-coding RNA (331 nucleotides) under Elaeis guineensis (African oil palm). Its description in RNAcentral is "long non-coding RNA (EGUI_LNC025604)". The record is from RNAcentral. Lineage: Eukaryota; Viridiplantae; Streptophyta; Magnoliopsida; Arecales; Arecaceae.
UCCACAAUCAAAGAAGAUCUGAAAUGAUAUGGACGCAAUGGAGCAUCAAAAUUUUGUAUGGUGUGGAUUAUGUAAGGAGAUAGGGCACCAUCGGCACAGAUGCCCUCAAUGACGUUGAUUUAUGUAUUUGUUCAUAUUUUGUAGACUGACUUUAUAUAUCAUUUGUAUUUUUUUUAAAUAUUUUGGUUAUGUAAUCAUGUCGUGUAAAUAUUUUUCAAAUUAUCUUAUGUAUCAUUUGUGUUGCUUAUGAUCUUUGAUAUUUCUGGGUAGUAAGAUAAUUUUUUUAUUUUAUACCUUAGACAUGGUAGGUUCAAACUCCAAUGUUCACUCG